Molecule: ribosomal RNA, 439 nt
Filed under: uncultured bacterium
Lineage: Bacteria
Description: partial 16S ribosomal RNA
Rfam family: Bacterial small subunit ribosomal RNA
Source: RNAcentral
CUACGGGGGGCUCCAGUAAGGAAUAUUGCACAAUGGAGGAAACUCUGAUGCAGCAACGCCGCGUGGAGGAUGACGCAUUUCGGUGCGUAAACUCCUUUUAUAUGUCAAGAAAAUGACGGUAGCAUAUGAAUAAGCACCGGCUAACUCCGUGCCAGCAGCCGCGGUAAUACGGAGGGUGCAAGCGUUACUCGGAAUCACUGGGCGUAAAGGACGCGUAGGCGGGAUAUCAAGUCAGGUGUGAAAUCCUACAGCUUAACUGUAGAACUGCACUUGAAACUGGUAACCUAGAGUAUGGGAGGGGGAGAUGGAAUUAGUGGUGUAGGGGUAAAAUCCGUAGAUAUCACUAGGAAUACCUAAAGCGAAGGCGAUCUCCUGGAACAUAACUGACGCUAAGGCGUGAAAGCGUGGGGAGCAAACAGGAUUAGAUACCCGAGUAGUC